RNA transcript from Brassica rapa (field mustard), 1414 nucleotides. RefSeq lists it as uncharacterized. NCBI's taxonomy places the organism in Eukaryota, Viridiplantae, Streptophyta, Magnoliopsida, Brassicales, Brassicaceae. The record is from RefSeq and is a predicted model, not a curated record.
UCCUUGGUCACCAUCCAAAGCCAAAGAGAAAAGGAUUGUCUUUCCCAAAGUGUCGCAACGAAAAUCUAGGGUUCGUGUUCUGCUUAGAUCUGCGAGACCAGAUCGUUCUUCUUCCUUCUCUGACAACAACAAUGGAGUUUCGAGAUAUUGAGUGAGUCGAGUCGAUUCGAAGGAGCUCUGUGUGAAUCUUCGAGUAGCGUCAUUUUGGCUUAUGUUCUAUUCGUCUGUAACGUCUCGAGUCACUGAUCCCUCGCUAUUAUCAUACUUCUUAACUCCGGCAUCUUCCUCUACAAGGCUGUAUCUACACCUAUAUAAAGUCAUAUUAUCCCUAAGAUCUUAGGCAGAUCAGAGUGGCAAGAACCCUUCUCUCCUCCUUGCUGACUUGAAAACCGGGUGCUGUAGCACCACCAGUUCGUCUCCAUGAUCCCGACUUUUCUAUCCGCUUAGUCUGCAUUGCAGCUGUGUCGGCGAUCUCUUCCCAAUGCGCAGAUCAUAGUGAUGUUGUGUCUCAAGGCGGCGAUCGAUGCUGCGGAGGAUCCGGUUCGGUUAAGGCAUGUGCUUCUUCCUAGGCUGGAAAGAGCUGAUGAAUCAGAAGAUGAACAGCCAAAAGAUUUGUCACCUGACUUUGUUGGUAUGAGCGAUUUGUCAAUGCCCUUGAUGAAUCAUCUAAUGAUACACUUCCAGAUCUAAAAGAGAAGACUUUGAAGGUUGAGACUAAAGAGCUAGGUGAAAUACUUGAUGUUGCCUCAAAGUCUAUGGAAGGCAUUGUGCAAAACAUUGGAAACUUUCUGCCUAAGUUGCAGACACAAGAGAUGGAGGCGUUUAUGUCCAAACUAGCUAGAGUGAGUAGCAAUGCAAAAGCAUCAGAAAAAGACUGUGGAUUUGGAUUGCUUAAGACUCAUUCAUCAGAUAUUUAAUAAUGCUAUCUUAGAAGUUAGCUUAUUCAGGAGAAGUAUGAACUCCAAUGGAGCAAACUUUUUGUUUGAUGAUCUCUACCCAGAAGGUUACCUUACCAUACUGUCAAACACUACAACAUACACACACACAAGCAUUGAAGCUGAAGUAUUAUUGCGGGAAAUAAUAAAAUUUCGACCAGUUACUUGCAUUUAGAACAAUAAGGCCUUGGUGUAAUGUGUAUAAAAACUACCUUACCAUACGGUCAAGCACUGCAACAUACACACAAAAGCAUUGAAGCUGAAGUAUUAUUGCGGAAAAUAAUAAAAUUUCGACCACUUGCAUUUAGAACAAUAAGGCCUUGGUGUAAUGUGUAUAAAAAAUAUGUUACUGGUAGUAUAUACUAGGGUUUUCACCGUCUAUGUCGCUUUGCUAACUCUACCUCGCUCCACCUCCUUCCUACUGAUAUUGUAAUGUUUCUGAAACACAUUGAAAUCUCCACAUAAACUUUAUCAUUUAA